RNAcentral lists this ribosomal RNA (253 nucleotides) under uncultured bacterium. RNAcentral's name for it is "partial 16S ribosomal RNA". It matches the Rfam family "Bacterial small subunit ribosomal RNA", at positions 524 to 776 of the family's 1533-position model. The record is from RNAcentral.
UACGGAGGGUGCGAGCGUUAAUCGAAAUUACUGGGCGUAAAGGGUGCGUAGGUGGCUGAGAAAGUUACUUGUGAAAGUCCUGGGCUUAACCCAGGUUGGACGAGUGAUACUGUUUAGCUAGAGUACAGGAGAGGGCAGUGGAAUUCCAGGUGUAGCGGUGAAAUGCGUAGAUAUCUGGAGGAACAUCGGUGGCGAAGGCGGCUGCCUGGCCUGAUACUGACACUGAGGCACGAAAGCGUGGGGAGCAAACAGG